Long non-coding RNA from Syngnathus acus (greater pipefish), 190 nucleotides. RefSeq lists it as uncharacterized. The transcript is spliced from 3 exons. NCBI's taxonomy places the organism in Eukaryota, Metazoa, Chordata, Actinopteri, Syngnathiformes, Syngnathidae. The record is from RefSeq and is a predicted model, not a curated record.
UUUUUUUUUUUCUUAAUAAAGUUUAAAGUUAUAAUUUUUGAUGUAUGUUAUAUGAUUAAGAAACAAAGUUAGAAUUCAACUUUGAAUUCAAGACAAUAUUGUUUGACCAAAAGAAGACAACAAAAUUAUUUAUCCAUUUAUUUAUUUAUUUAGUAUCCAAUAUUGUAAAGUUAUCAGUGCACAAAUAAUU